AAUGAACGCUGGCGGUGUGCCUAACACAUGCAAGUCGAACGGCAGCACAGUAAGAUCUUGCUCUUACCGGUGGCGAGUGGCGGGCGGGUGAGGAGUACAUCGGAAUCUACUUUUUCGUGGGUGAUAACGGAGGGAAACUUACUCUAAUACCGCAUACGACCUACGGGUGAAAUCAGGAGAGCUUCGCACCUUGCGCGAUUCAAUGAGCCGAUGUCGGAUUAGCUAGGUGGCGGGGUAAAGGCCCACCAAGGCGACGAUGCGUAGCUGGCCUGAGAGGAUGAUCAGCCACACUGGAACUGAGACACGGUCCAGACUCCUACGGGAGGCAGCAGUGGGGAAUCUUGGGCAAUGGGCGCAAGCCUGACACAGCCAUGCCGCGUGGGUGAAGAAGGCCUUCGGGUUGUAAAACCCUUUUGUUGGGAAAGAACAGCAGCAGGUUAAUACCUAGCUGUUCUGACGGUACCUAAAGAAUAAGCACCGGCUAACUACGUG
Molecule: ribosomal RNA, 492 nt
Filed under: uncultured bacterium
Lineage: Bacteria
Description: partial 16S ribosomal RNA
Rfam family: Bacterial small subunit ribosomal RNA
Source: RNAcentral